RNAcentral lists this unclassified non-coding RNA (1404 nucleotides) under Hevea brasiliensis (rubber tree). The record is from RNAcentral. Lineage: Eukaryota; Viridiplantae; Streptophyta; Magnoliopsida; Malpighiales; Euphorbiaceae.
GAAAAAGAGAAAGAUAAUGGGUAUAUAUAAUUUUUGGAAAUUAAAAGUGAAAUUCAUCUUUGUACAAAGGAAAAAAAAAGCAACAGACAAAAAGAAGUUGUGUGAAAAGAAAGAAGGUGAGAAUGAAACUUCCAAUAUAUAUAUAUAUAUAUGGCCACCAAUUUUCACUGCAAAACAACAGAAUUGUCUCCUCUUUAAAUCAACAGCAGCAGCAGCAGCAAACAUACCCACUGAAAUUUUCAACACAACCAUUGGAACUUUCUUCUAGUAAAGUCGUUCUUUCAUGUCAUGCCACCAUCUCCACCAAUAAUAAUCCCAUCUGGGUCUGAUUUUGCUCAUCCUGUUUUCUCCAUAGGGGUAAUCAGUUUCAGCCCUUCUUGUAUUUCUGAAAGCACAACAUCCUAUUGAAUAGAUCCCAAUGAGAAGCACAAGCAUCACAAUAUUAAGGACUGAGAGCUUGUGCCAAUCCCUUCUCACAUCUUCAAGCACUCCAGCUUUGCAAGAAUCACACCCAUAACACAGUAAAGUUGGGGAAUUGUUCCAUCUGUAGCAAUCUGGGUCUUGAGGCAACAUUGUUGGCAUGUAGUAGUUACAUGAAGUUGGUGGCUUGCAACAUCCAGACUGGAUGGGAGACAUGUCUUUCUCUGUAUAAUCAAGAGGAGUCCAAUAGGCAAGCUUGGCACAAGUCCUGGAACCCACUAUGCAGCUUCUAAUCGUUCUCCAAUAGUCAGGAUCAUUAAUCCUAUCUCUCAACCAAGGAGAAUAAUCUUGAAGCCUAUACUCCUUGUAAACCCUACCAGGAACAGCCACACCACCACCUUGGCUUGUGACAACAAACCCAAAAAUAGUCAAUCCCAUUAAGGUUGCAAUAAGGAACAACAUGACCACGAGGUAGACCCAAAGUGCCCAUGCUACAUGAAAACAGGCUCCAAUGAAGCCAGCUAGUGAAACUAUGAGCACAACAAAACCCACAACCAGAAGUGGGGUUUGGAGGAAACUUUCACAGGUUGUGCUGCUUCUUGCAAUCCAUAAGCCUCCACCAAUGAUAGGUAUGGAAGCUAAGAGAGUGAAAAGAUUCAAGAACCCAAUAACUGUGUUGCUAAAUCUAUACAUUUCUUUAAUCUAAUUUCUGUUUGUUGCACUUGCACCUAGCUAGUUCAAUUCCCUCUCUCCUUCUAAACACUUGUAUGAGUAUCUCUCCUUUUCUCUUUGUAUUCCUGCAGCUUCUUUUCUUGUUAUGGUGUCUUGUUCAGCUUUUCUCUUUUAAUGGGUGGCAAUGCUUUUCUUUAUUAUAUAUGUUUCUAAAAGAUUCAAGAAAUUGAAAAUGCUUAUCAACUUUCUCUAUUUGCCUUUUACUUUAUCUGAUGUACGUAGAAUUAAUGGCUAGAUUAAUUAUGUAUGCUU